GACGAACGCUGGCGGCGUGCUUAACACAUGCAAGUCGAACGGAAAGGCCCUGCUUUUGUGGGGUGCUCGAGUGGCGAACGGGUGAGUAACACGUGAGUAACCUGCCCUUGACUUUGGGAUAACUUCAGGAAACUGGGGCUAAUACCGGAUAGGAGCUCCUGCUGCAUGGUGGGGGUUGGAAAGUUUCGGCGGUUGGGGAUGGACUCGCGGCUUAUCAGCUUGUUGGUGGGGUAGUGGCUUACCAAGGCAUUGACGGGUAGCCGGCCUGAGAGGGUGACCGGCCACAUUGGGACUGAGAUACGGCCCAGACGCCUACGGUAGGCAGCAGUGGGGAAUAUUGCACAAUGGGCGGAAGCCUGAGGCAGCAACGCCGCGUGCGGGAUGACGGCCUUCGGGGUGUAAACCGCUUUCGCCUGUGACGAAGCGUGAGUGACGGUAAUGGGUAAAGAAGCACCGGCUAACUACGUG
This 468-nucleotide ribosomal RNA is filed under the name uncultured bacterium. RNAcentral describes it as "partial 16S ribosomal RNA". It matches the Rfam family "Bacterial small subunit ribosomal RNA", at positions 28 to 507 of the family's 1533-position model. The record is from RNAcentral.